This 84-nucleotide transfer RNA is filed under the name Candidatus Shapirobacteria bacterium. RNAcentral describes it as "tRNA-Ser". It matches the Rfam family "tRNA". Rfam says of the family: Transfer RNA (tRNA) molecules are approximately 80 nucleotides in length. Their secondary structure includes four short double-helical elements and three loops (D, anti-codon, and T loops). The record is from RNAcentral. Lineage: Bacteria; Candidatus Shapironibacteriota.
GGAGAGAUGCGCCGAAUUGGUAAGGCAGCAACCUCGAAAGUUGCCGCCCGCAAGGGCUUGGGGGUUCGAGUCCCCCUCUCUCCU